Molecule: ribosomal RNA, 253 nt
Filed under: uncultured microorganism
Description: partial 16S ribosomal RNA
Rfam family: Bacterial small subunit ribosomal RNA
Source: RNAcentral
UACGUAGGGUGCGAGCGUUAAUCGGAUGUACUGGGCGUAAAGCGUGCGCAGGCGGCCCGUUAAGACAGGUGUGAAAUCCCUGGGCUCAAACUAGGAAUUGCGCUUGUGACUGGAGGGCUCGAGUACGGUAGAGGGGGGUGGAAUUCCUGGUGUAGCAGUGAAAUGCGUAGAGAUCAGGAGGAACACCGAUGGCGAAGGCAGCCCCCUGGGCCUGUACUGACGCUCAUGCACGAAAGCGUGGGGAGCAAACAGG